UAUCCUACGGGACGCAGCAGUGAGGAAUAUUGGUCAAUGGUCGGGAGACUGAACCAGCCAAGCCGCGUGAGGGAGGAAGGUACAGAGUAUCGUAAACCUCUUUUGUCAGGGAACAAAGGCGGGGACGUGUCCCCGGAUGAGUGUACCUGAAGAAAAAGCAUCGGCUAACUCCGUGCCAGCAGCCGCGGUAAUACGGAGGAUGCGAGCGUUAUCCGGAUUUAUUGGGUUUAAAGGGAGCGUAGGCCGGCUUUUAAGUCAGCUGUGAAAGUCCGCGGCUCAACCGUGGAAUUGCAGUUGAAACUGGG
RNAcentral lists this ribosomal RNA (305 nucleotides) under uncultured bacterium. Its description in RNAcentral is "bacterial SSU rRNA". It matches the Rfam family "Bacterial small subunit ribosomal RNA", at positions 335 to 637 of the family's 1533-position model. The record is from RNAcentral.